RNAcentral lists this long non-coding RNA (304 nucleotides) under Daucus carota (carrot). RNAcentral's name for it is "long non-coding RNA (DCAR_LNC006059)". The record is from RNAcentral. Lineage: Eukaryota; Viridiplantae; Streptophyta; Magnoliopsida; Apiales; Apiaceae.
CUUUCUCACCUCACUCUCUCUCACUCUACAAUUAAUGUUCCCUCUGUCUUGAUCGAUCAAUCGCCGUCCAACUCCGCGCCGCCUGCACCACGUUAGCUUCCGUGGCGGUGGCCGCAUAGUCGAUGGAGCUGCUCCUCGCUCAAAGAUGUCAUCGGCGAUUGAAUGAGCCUUCCACGAUGUUAACUCACCACCGCAAUCCAAUAACACGAUGAACAAUGGCGAUAAGAAAAAAUAAUUAGGCAAGUAAGAGAUGAAAUUGGCAGACGACAUAAGUGACCCAUGCAACUCGGAGUUCUGAUACGCA